AAGUCGUAACAAGGUCUCCGUUGGUGAACCAGCGGAGGGAUCAUUACAGAGUUCCUUCACGAGACUCCCAAACCAUUGUGAACAUACCCGUCAUCGUUGCCUCGGCGGGCGUCCCCUCGGGGGUGUCCGCCGCUGGCCCACCAAACUCUUUUUAUUGUUAGGGACUCUCUGAGACAACAAGCAAAUAAGUUAAAACUUUCAACAACGGAUCUCUUGGUUCUG
Molecule: unclassified non-coding RNA, 222 nt
Filed under: fungal sp.
Lineage: Eukaryota; Fungi
Description: partial internal transcribed spacer region
Rfam family: Eukaryotic small subunit ribosomal RNA (bases 1-46)
Source: RNAcentral